GAUGAACGCUGGCGGCGUGCCUAAUACAUGCAAGUCGAGCGAACGGACGAGAAGCUUGCUUCUCUGAUGUUAGCGGCGGACGGGUGAGUAAUACGUGGAUAACCUACCUAUAAGACUGGGAUAACUUCGGGAAACCGGAGCUAAUACCGGAUAAUAUUUUGAACCGCAUGGUUCAAAAGUGAAAGACGGUCUUGCUGUCACUUAUAGAUGGAUCCGCGCUGCAUUAGCUAGUUGGUAAGGUAACGGCUUACCAAGGCAACGAUGCAUAGCCGACCUGAGAGGGUGAUCGGCCACACUGGAACUGAGACACGGUCCAGACUCCUACGGGAGGCAGCAGUAGGGAAUCUUCCGCAAUGGGCGAAAGCCUGACGGAGCAACGCCGCGUGAGUGAUGAAGGUCUUCGGAUCGUAAAACUCUGUUAUUAGGGAAGAACAUAUGUGUAAGUAACUGUGCACAUCUUGACGGUACCUAAUCAGAAAGCCACGGCUAACUACGUG
This 497-nucleotide ribosomal RNA is filed under the name uncultured bacterium. RNAcentral describes it as "partial 16S ribosomal RNA". It matches the Rfam family "Bacterial small subunit ribosomal RNA", at positions 28 to 507 of the family's 1533-position model. The record is from RNAcentral.